AUACGGAGGGUGCAAGCGUUAAUCGGAUUUACUGGGCGUAAAGCGCGCGUAGGCGGUUUGGUAAGUCGGAUGUGAAAUCCCAGGGCUCAACCUUGGAACUGCAUUCGAUACUGCCUCACUAGAGUAUGGUAGAGGGAAGUGGAAUUCCGGGUGUAGCGGUGAAAUGCGUAGAUAUCCGGAGGAACAUCAGUGGCGAAGGCGACUUCCUGGCCCAAUACUGACGCUGAGGUGCGAAAGCGUGGGGAGCAAACAGGAUUAGAAACCCGAGUAGUCC
Molecule: ribosomal RNA, 274 nt
Filed under: uncultured bacterium
Lineage: Bacteria
Description: partial 16S ribosomal RNA
Rfam family: Bacterial small subunit ribosomal RNA
Source: RNAcentral